RNAcentral lists this non-coding RNA (1271 nucleotides) under Ceramothamnion japonicum. Its description in RNAcentral is "SSU rRNA". It matches the Rfam family "Bacterial small subunit ribosomal RNA". Lineage: Eukaryota; Rhodophyta; Florideophyceae; Ceramiales; Ceramiaceae. The record is from RNAcentral.
UUAAUUAAAUAAAAGAGUUUGAUCCUGGCUCAGAAUUAACGUUUUUGAUUGGUUUUACACAUGCAAGUUUACAUAAAACUGUAAGCGCACGGGUGAGUAAUAUAUAGGAAAAAAAUCAGAAAAGAAAAGCCUAUACAAGAUUAAGUUAUUAAAACAAAAAUAUUAAGUCUUAUAAUCUUUAGUUGGUCUUUGCGGAUGAACAACCACAUUGGAAUUGAAAUAAGGUCCAAACUUUUAAAAGGCAGCAGUGAAGAAUUUUGGGCAAUGAGUGUAAGCUUGACCCAGCUAAAUCAAAUGUGUGACUACUUGUAAAACACAUACUAUAAUUAAAUUAUGUUUAAUUUUUUUAGAGCCCUGGCUAAUUUCGUGCCAGCAGCCGCGGUAAUACGAAAAGGGCAAACGUUAUUCAAAGUUAUUGGGCGUAAAGGAUACGUAGGUUGAAAAUUAAAUUUUACUUUAAAGAUUAAGUUUUAUGUUUUUAAAUAUUAAAUAUUAAUUUUCUAGAGUUAUAAAAAAUAUUUUGGAAUUUUAAGUGUAACGGUAAAAUGUUUAAAUAUUUAAAGGAACUUCAAAAGCGAAAGCGAAAAUAUUUUUAGAAACUGACAUUGAGGUAUUAAAGCAUGGGAAGCAAAAGGGAUUAGAUACCCCUGUAGUCCAUGCCCUGAACUAUGAAUGUACAAAUUAACGUUAACAUUCCGCCUGGGGAGUACGAUUGCAAAAUUAAAACUCAAAGGAAUUGACGGGGAUCUACACAAGCAGUGGAGUAUGUGGUUUAAAUCGAUAAUACGCGUGAAACCUUACCAAUUUUUGAAUUUAAAACAAGUGUUGCAUGGCUGUCGUCAGUCCGUGUUUUGAAACGUUUGGUUUAUUCCAAAAAACGGACGAAACUCUUAUAUAUUACUAAAAUAUAAACAUUAAAGAUAUUUUAAAGGAAGAAGAAUGACGCCAAGUCUUUAUGACCUCUACAAAUUGGGCUACUUUCAUGUACUACAAUAAUUUAGACAGUUUUUAGUUAAAAUGUAAAUUAUAACACUAAAAAACUAAAUUGUGUUCGGAUUACUUUCUGCAACUCGAAAGUAUGAAGUUGGAAUUGCUAGUAAUCACAAAUAAGAAUGUUGUGGUGAAUUAGUUCUUAGAUCUUGUACACACUGCCCGUCACGCUAUGGAAAUUUAGUUUCUUCAAAAUUUAGUUUUAGGGAAAUAAAAUAACUAAAGUGAAGUCGUAACAAGGUAGCCGUAGGGGAACCUGUGGCUGAAAAUCUUAAAUAAUU